RNAcentral lists this long non-coding RNA (279 nucleotides) under Elaeis guineensis (African oil palm). RNAcentral's name for it is "long non-coding RNA (EGUI_LNC045146)". Lineage: Eukaryota; Viridiplantae; Streptophyta; Magnoliopsida; Arecales; Arecaceae. The record is from RNAcentral.
GGUAUAUAGGUUUUAUUGUCCUAACCAUGUAUCUAAAAUAGUUCAAGCUAGAAAUGCUAAGUUUUUUAAGGAUUAUGAGCUUAGUGGGAGUGAUUUUUCUCGUAAGGAUGAAUUUGAAAAAAUAAGAGAUCAAAUUGAUCAACCCAUAAAAGAUAUGAAAUUGAUUGUUAUUCAAAGAGAUUCACAAGAUCGUGAACAACCAAUUUAAGAACAACCACUUCAUGAAGAGCAAGUUCAUAUUGAGCCUACUAUUAAAAAUACUUAGAAUACGGAUGUAAU